AACGCACAUUGCGACCCCUGGUAUUCCGGGGGACAUGCCUGUCCGAGCGUCAUUUCUGCCCUCAAGCACGGCUUGUGUGUUGGGCCCCUUCCUCCGAUCCCGGGGGACUGGCCCGAAAGGCAGCGGCGGCACCGCGUCCGGUCCUCGAGCGAAUGGGGCUUUGUCACCCGCUCUGUAGUCCCGGUCGGCGCUUGCCGAUCACCCCAAAUUUUUAUCCAGGUUGACCUCGGAUCAGGUAGGGAUACCCGCUGAACUUA
RNAcentral lists this unclassified non-coding RNA (257 nucleotides) under uncultured fungus. Its description in RNAcentral is "partial contains 5.8S rRNA and ITS2". The record is from RNAcentral. Lineage: Eukaryota; Fungi.